UGACUAUUAUUUUGAUCCCUAAUCAAUUUCACCUAAGCGAAUUUCCUAUAUAAUCAUAAUAAAUUGAAGAAGUAAAGAAUCCAAUAAGGUUAACAUUAGUUAUCACACCAAUACAAUCAUGCAUUAAUAAAUAUGGGGAAUAGGUCUAGUGGGGAUAGACUCCAUUCUUGUUGGACUACCACUAGAUAGGACCAACAUUAUCUUUAUUAAGUCAGCAAAAGACAGGAGGAAGCAGCAAUAACGGCAGCCCAGUUGCUCAAACUGGACUAGGGCCCAAAAGGAGCUCAGCGAGAGCAAAGGAGUAUUCAUGCAAAACAAGGAAAAGAUAAGCAUCAGUAUACUCUUGCUUCCAUCACCAAGUUAAGGGAAAAAAAACAUAAUAGCAUAAAUACAUAAAUGUUAUGCCAAAGAAUUAAUAAUGCUCAAACUAAAUACUUGUGAAUAAUUUUCCCAAAGGAUCAAUAUAUUCCAAAUUUGCCCAAAGUCUAUUUGUGUCAAAAGAAUUCCCUUGAUUUUUGAUACUUCGGAGUUCACAAGGGUCUCUCGGAUUCUGAGUAGUGCUUGUGCCAGAGAGGGAUUCCUCAAUGUAUAGUCGACCCAAGGUUAAAUUAGUAACCAUGAACCCCUACUCCUCCAGAGGGCAAAUCAAACAAAAGCGAUUACCCUCACAUAAUAGCAUUCACCAAACUUCUAGUCGUGAAUUCAUAUACUAUUAGGAACAAUUUAUCAACCCAGACCGAAAAUAUUUAGCCAUUUCUAAGAGACUAAAUCUUCAUCAAAACAAGUCCUAAGGUAACACAUUUGUUAUUAUGUUCUAACUGAUUUGAUUUCAUGGUAUAUACAGAAGGGGUAACUCUAUUGAACUACGUUUUAGCAUAGAAUGUUGGGUUUACUUCCAUAAUACCAAUUCUUUUAAUGGCAAUCUACAAAAGAAUCUUCUUCUCUUAUAUUCACACUAGCAACCUAGUACUUUAAGAAUUUCAAAAGACUAAUGGAAUGACAGAGUUCUCAUGUCUUGCAAACAAAGAAAGACUCAGACUGUUCUUAACAUAGGAAUAGCCAUACUCAUACUUUGAAAUGCAGCUAAUGCAAACAGGAAAGAGAAACAAGCAUAUUACUUCUCUAAUUGUUCUAAAGUUCUAUGUAAUUAUUCUAGUUUGAAGGAUUUCUUUUAUAAAUAUGCUUAUGGACUAAAUUUUAUGUCUGCUUCCUUAACAAUAAGAAAUCCUAAAGGCAUCAUCUCUAUUUCUUAUUUGCAAAUAGUAUCAACAGACUUAUGUAAAUUAAAUUGUUACUGUAUUAACCCAGUCGGUCGUUUUGAGUACUUUAGCCCCAUUUGCCCGAUUAGAUGCUUUACUUAAGUGUAUUUGAGGUUACGUGAGUUUCCGCGGUGGUUCGUUUGGUUUCAAGGAAGUUUUAGAGUAAACUAGGAAACUUAGUCCCAAGGUUGGAAGCUUAAGUUGUAAGAGUUGACCGUAGUUUGACUUUCAUGUAAAUAACUUCGAAAUAGAGUUUUGAUAGUUUAAAUAGUUUCGUAUUAUAAUUUUGGACUUAGGCGUAUGUCCGAAUAUGGAUUUGGAGGUUUGUAGGUGGAUUUGUUACUUUUUGGCGAAAGUUAGAAAGUUGAAGAAUUGGAAGGUUGAUAGGUUCGACCGAUAGUUGACUUUGAUAAUAUCGGGUUCAGAUUUUGAUUACGGGAGUUGGAUUAGGCCUAUUAUGUCAUUUGGAGCUUGCAUGCAAAAUUUGAGGUCAUUCGAGUCGUUUAGGCUUGUUCGACGUAAGUUUUGAAUUUGGAAAAUGGGAUUAGUUCCUUAGGCUUGAAUUGAGGUGCGAUUUGUGAUUUUGAUAUUGUUUUGUGUGAUUUGGCGCCUCAAUCAAGUCCGUGUUAUGUUUUGGGAUUGAUUGGUAUGGUUGGACUGGAUACCCGGGACCUCGGGUGUAUUUCAGACGGGUUUCAGACCAUUUCUCCAUGUUUUAGAACUGCUAAUUCUCAUUUCUGGUUUCCCUUUUCACAAUCGCGAAGAAGCAAUUGCAUUCGUGGGAGGGUAUUUCUGAUGGAAGGUGAGUUGUUCUUCGUGUUCGCAAAAGAGUGAUCGCAUUCGCGAACUGUUUGGAGGCAGUGGCCUUCGUGAUCGUGAUGAGGGGGGCGCGUUCAUGUAGAAGGGGAGGACGGCUGGGGUGUCAAGCUUUUAGCCUUGAAGAUCACGAGGUGGUGACCACGUUCACGUAGGCUUAGAGGUGGAGUGCAUUGUGUCCGCGUCCUGGAUGUCACAUUCGCCAAGGGGUUUUCCAGGGCAGUGUUUGGUUGUGCUUUGCGAUGGCAAAGUUGGUCCCGCGAUUGCGAAGGAUAUGCCUGGGCAGGCCAUAAGUACUCUACUUUUUCGAUAGUUUUCGCCAUUUUAACAUAUUUAGAGUUGUGGAUCUCAGAUUUGGGUAAUUUUGGAGGGUAUAUUCACGAUUUGGAUUGAAGUAAGAAUUUUUUACUCGAAUUUGUUAUAUUCAUGAUUCCAACAAUUAUUUUAGCAUUUAAUUGAUGAAUUAAAGUGUGAAAAUUGGGGAUUUUAGUAAAAACUUUUCUAAAGCAUAAAUUGAUGAUUUGAGGGUCUAUUUGAGGUCCGAUUUGAAUGAAACACAUAUAUUUGGACUCAUAUUGGAAUGGAUGUUCAGAAUUUGAGAGUUUGGUCGAGUUCCGAUAUAUGGGUCUAGGGUUGAAUUUUUGGAUUGACUUUUUGUUUUGGUUAAAGAUCUUAUUUUUAUCAUUUGGAAUCGUUUCCUAUGACUUUUAUUGAUGAUAGUAAGUUAUUUUGGCUAGAUUCGGGCUGUACGGAGGUUGAUUCACAGGGGAAGGGCUUAUUAGAGGAUUGAUUUGGCUUGCUCAAGGUAAGUAUCUUACCUAAACUUAGUUGAGGCACUAGUUUCCUGAGCUAUUUUUCAUAGCUACGUGCUAUGGGUGGCGCACAUGUGUGGGAUUGAGCCCAUGUGCGUGCACCAGGAUCUUUGUUUAUGCUCGGGGUAGUAUUUAGCUUAUGUUAUGCCUUGAAUUGAUUGCUAAGCUUCAUACCGUGAUGGUUCUUAUACUUGUACUCCUAUUGUGAACUAUUUGAGCCAUGUUUGAGGUUACAUAGAGGUUAGUCUCCUGAUUGAACCUGAUAAUUAUUAUUUCCAUGAUGUAAUUGCCCGGUUUGAGAUAUGAUAGUACACUUUGCACAUGCAUACACCUUAGCAUAUCAGUUAUACUAAUCCAAGAGUAUGGAAUUUGAUAUUCAUUGAUAAUAUACAUGUAUUUUUGUAUAUUUUCUUCCUGUGUGAUAUGGAUUCGACCGGUAGCACAUGACCACGCCAUGCGGUUUGUGAGAUUGAGCAUGUGACCAUUCCCAGCAGAUUAUGAUAUUGAGCUUGUGACCACGCCGAACGAAUUAUGAUAUUGAGCUUGUGACCACGCCGGGCGAAUUGUGUAUUGAGCCUAUGACCACGCCGACCGGAUUGUGAUAUUUAGCAUGUAACCACGCCGACUGAAUUGCACGUGACUACGCCGUACAACGUGUGGAUAUGUAUCUAUCUGCCUAGGGUCACCCUCUCAUGGCCUUCUUGAUGGUGUACAUUAGGACUUGAAAAAUAAUUGAUCAAUGGUUUGGUACUGUUAUGAAAAUUAUUAGGAAAAGCUAGUCGGUGCUUGAUUUGGUUAUUGCAUUUCAUCUUUACUUGCAAUUUCCUUGGUUGUUUACCUGAUUUGCUGCAUAUAUUCUUUAUAUGCUGGAUUUUUGGCUUAGCAGAGUACGUUAAGUUAUUAUGUUCACACAGUGGUUUCUUCAUGUGCCUCGUGAUUUGAUAAUAUUAUUUGUUAUGUACUUGUUGGAUUUAUGAACUGUACAGGUGGUUAGCGAGUAUCAUUUAUAAUUCUUGCUUUUAUUGCCUAGCGGAGGUUAGUUAUGAUACUUGCUGAGUAUAUGGGGUUGAUUGUACUCAUACUACACUCUACACUUAAUUGUGCAGAUCUAGGUGUUGAAUCGAGCCACUAGUAGCUGAGGCUUAUUGAUGAUUGUCAUCAGAGAGACGAGGUAGCGUUGCAUCUUGACCGCAGUCUUGGCAUUUCUUUUCCUUUUUGUAUCGUUUUGUUUAUUCAGACAGUGUUAUUAUUUGGCAUUUCAGACAUAUAUUUUUGUUUUAGAGCUCAUGACUCUGUAUUAACCAGUUCCAGUGGAUUUUAUUUUUGUAUUGACGUUGUUGUUUAUGUUAUUUUGCCUUAGACUUGUACUAAUUCAGUUAAUUCAGUAUUUUUAUUUCAUUUUUGUUAUGUUUGGCUUGCCUAGCAAGUGAGUCAUCAUGACAGGAUGGUGGUUUUGGAUCGUGAAAAGUUAGUAUUAUAGCUCUAGGUUCAUAAGUUCUACGAGUCAUAAGCAACUUUAGUAGAGUCUUUCGGUACGGAGACGUUUGUACUUAUCUUUAAAAAGCUAUCAAACUAUUAGAAAACUUCACUUUCAUGUAUUCUUGUCAUGCAGAUUUAUUAUUUCUAAAGUUUAAACCUUUACUCUUCUAUUCUCUCAGAUAUGGUGAGGAAAUAAUGAGCCGGAUCAGGCGGCCAAGCACCAGUACGACCAGGCAGGCUGCAAGAGGUCGGGGCUGAGGUGGGGCUCGUACUACUGCUAGGGCAGUAUCUGUGGAGCCACCAGUCGCUCCAGUGGAGGAGCAAGUUCCAGAUAUUGUUGAGCCGGUGGAACCAGAUUAGACACCGGCAGUACCUAUUGUUAUACCUGUUCUUCAGGAGGCUUUGGCUCAGAUCUUGAGUGUGUGCACUAGCUUGGCUAAGGCGUUUAAGGUACCAGUUACACCAGCUACCACACAGGCUAGAGGAGGAGCCCAAACUCCCGCCACCCGUAUAUCGGAGCAACUAGCUUAGGCUUAUCAGACACCAAGGGUGUUACCGACUUAGCCAGUUAUUGUUGCUCGUGUCGCGAUUGAUCCAUCUAUGUCCGAUGAGGAGCAAAAGAGGUUGGAGCGGUUUGAGAGUUCAGUGGAGGGGAGUUAGAGGAUGUUCAGAGUUUUCUGGAUCGGUGUCAUCGGAUUCUUUGCACAACGCGUAUUGUGGAUAUCAGUGGGGUUGCCUUUACAACUUUUCAGCUGACAGGGGCAGUCUACCAGUUGUGGCACACUUACGAGUCUAGUAAGCCAGCUGGCACAACACAACUUAUAUGGCAUGCGUUCUCAGUUCUCUUCUUAGAGAAGUUUGUCGUACAGACUCGCAGAGAGGAGUUGGAUAGGGAGUUUGAGCAGCUAUGCCAGGAGAUAUGACUGUGACCCGGUACGAGAUGAGAUUUUAGAUUUGGCACAUCACACUGUAUGGUUGGUUCCUAUAGAGAGGUAGAUGCUCAGGAGUUUCAUUGCUGGCCUCAACUAUCGUCUACGUUACUGUUUGGUUCGAGAGGCCAAAACGGAUGCAGCGUGUGGAUAUAUAUCCAAACCCUAGGGUCACCCUCUUAUGUGCCUUCUUGAUGUUGUACACGUAGAUUUGAGGUAAACUUAUUAGUGGUUUGGUACGAGUAUGAAAUUCUGAGAACAAACUGGUCAGUGCUUGAUUUGGUUAUUGUGUUUCAUCUUCACUUGCAAUUCCCUUGGUUGUUUACAUGAUUUGCUACAUAUCUUCUUUAUAUGCUGGAUUGUUGGCUGAGCAGAGUACAUUAAGUUAUUAUGUGCACACAGUGGUUUCUUUCUGUACCUCAUUACUUGAUAAUAUUUUUUUUUGUACCUAUUAGAUUUAUGUACUGUACAGAUGGUUAGUAGUAUCAUUUAUAAUUCUUGCUUUUAUUACCUCGCCGAGGUUAGUUAUGGGGCUUAUUGUUGGUUGUCGUCCGAGAGAUGAGAUAGAGUUGCAUCUCGACCGUAGUCUUGGCGUCUCUAUUCCUUUUUGUAUUGUUGUCUUUCAUUUAGACAGUAUUUUUAUUUGGCAUUUCAGACUUGUAUUUCUGUUUUAGAGCUCAUGACACUGUAUUUACCAUUACCAGUUCAGGGAGAUUUGUUUUGUAUUGACAUUGUUUUUAUAUGUUAUUUGGCCUUAGACUUGUACUAAUUCAGUUUAUUCAGUAUUUUUAUUUUGUUCUUGUUAUGUUUGGCUUGCCUAGAAAGUGAGUUAAGCGCCAUCACGACCAGAUGGUGGUUUAGGUUGUGACAGUCGCAAUGUCUCUUUGUAAGCAACAUGCUAUUGUUAGUCCUUUUCUAUACCAUUGAAGUUCCUAUGAUGUUUAUACUAGAAGUUUAGAGUACUACUAUUUGACACUCAAUUUCAAAACCAUAGGUAUUAAUCAGCCCAGGUUCAUAUUGUUCAUGCGUGGAUAAAGAAUUGUUCAUUCCUUACACAUACUUUAAAGAAGUUCUAUAGAGUUGAUCGCAACACUUAGAGAGCAGAGUUUAAACUAAUCUUGCAUGAUGAAACUAACCUAAGAAUAACAAACUCCUAUUUAUGUAUAGAGUACAGGCUACUAUUGUAAAAUGCAUGAGUAUUUCACACAGAAAACUAAGGAUGAUUGUGUUCUACUAUACCUCCUAAGCUUUAUAAAGAGUAAAUAUGCUCGUGAGGAAUUCAAUUAUUGAUAUUGUGCAAGUUAAGCAAGUGACGACUUUAAAAGACAUAACUUUAACACAAUUAUCUUUUAACUAAAAUUAAGAAUCUACGAUACAUAACCAACAGAAGGUCAUCUAACGAGAUUCAAUGUACAAAAUAGGUAAUGAGACAUCAUGCAACUCAAAAUCAAAUUCAGAGAAAAAAAAAAGUUUUUACCCUGUGUUAAGUAACAAACUAGGGCUAGGAAGAGUGUCGUCAAGGUUGUGUAUCGAAAAUUGUUCUCAAUCCUCAAGCUCAGCCGGAUUUGAAAUAGACAGAAGAGUAAAAAUUGAGUAAGUACUAAAGAUUAGAACUUUAAGACUUUGAGUGAAUUCUUUUAUUCAAUUUGAUUUUUUCGAGGUUGUUGAAAGACAUUUAUGUCCGGCAUUUAUAGCCAAGAAGUGAAGUAGUUCUCGUUUGAAAACUUGAGAUUUUCAGGAUUUGAAAGCGGGAAUCCAUGAUGCAACACAGUGACGAAAUCAUGACGGUGUUAAUAGUGAAAAUUAGUGGAAAGAGUGAAGAGUGGUCACCUCUCUAAUUUGAUGAUGAAAAUAUAGCCAUUUGAAGCUUUAGACUUUUGGAUUUGAGCUUUACCUGCCGAAUUGAAACUCCGACCGCCGAAUCUUGCAAGGAUGACUGAGGUCAUGGAUUCUCUUUGGAUCUUUACGAAACAGCCCCAAUCUCAAGAGGCAUGUGAGGUUUGGAGAAGAAUCGUCAAAUCUUUAGAGGAAAUCUUUCGAUCUUCAGAUAAAAUAAUGAUGGUGAAGCUGCAGUUGCAUGCUUUUAGGGCUAAGGUUUUGAAACGAAUCAAGGUGAGAAAUGAGAGGAAGAAGGAAUAACCGACGAGAUUCGCGAUCUUAGGGUAGAGGAGAGACGGAGGAGAUCAGUGAAAGUCGGUGUAGCACCGUUUGGUGCUAGGGUUUUGACAGCUUCAGAGAUAAGAGAGGUGAGAGAGACGAGAGAAUUGGAAAAUGGGGGCGGCUGUUCUUUGA
This 7587-nucleotide long non-coding RNA is filed under the name Nicotiana tabacum (common tobacco). RNAcentral describes it as "long non-coding RNA (NTAB_LNC000490)". The record is from RNAcentral. Lineage: Eukaryota; Viridiplantae; Streptophyta; Magnoliopsida; Solanales; Solanaceae.